UUUACCAGCAGCUUAGCGCGCUUCGCCUGGUUUGUCCUUGUGACUGCAUGGUCUUAAGUGGCUGUACACCUCACCGCCUCACAUAAACUCUGAGUAAAAAAAGCCACAGCAUGCCACGAACAGCCAGCGUAGCCGUUAAACAAACUGCAAAACGAGAGACACGAUAAGGUUGACGAAACGAUUCAACUUUAAAGCCCAUCUCCCACAGCUAAGAUGCCUCCGUUUCUGCCUCCAUCUCUCUCCAUCUGCAGCUGCCCGUCUCAGACCUGGUUCCACAUACAGCAUGACUGUCAGAUGCUACUUCCACAUCUGGACCAAUUCUGGCGCCCGUACA
Seriola aureovittata is the source of this 334-nucleotide long non-coding RNA. RefSeq lists it as uncharacterized. The transcript is spliced from 3 exons. The record is from RefSeq and is a predicted model, not a curated record. NCBI's taxonomy places the organism in Eukaryota, Metazoa, Chordata, Actinopteri, Carangiformes, Carangidae.